GACGUAGGGGACGAGCGUUGUCCGGAUUCAUUGGGCGUAAAGCGCGCGUAGGCGGUUCGGUAAGUCUGGUGUGAAAACACGAGGCUCAACCUCGUGCGUGCAUCCGAUACUGCCGGACUAGAGGUAGGUAGGGGAGAUCGGAAUUCCUGGUGUAGCGGUGAAAUGCGCAGAUAUCAGGAGGAACACCGGUGGCGAAGGCGGAUCUCUGGGCCUUACCUGACGCUCAGGCGCGAAAGCUAGGGGAGCGAACAGG
RNAcentral lists this ribosomal RNA (253 nucleotides) under uncultured bacterium. Its description in RNAcentral is "partial 16S ribosomal RNA". It matches the Rfam family "Bacterial small subunit ribosomal RNA", at positions 524 to 776 of the family's 1533-position model. The record is from RNAcentral.